UGGGGAAUCUUGCGCAAUGGGCGAAAGCCUGACGCAGCGACGCCGCGUACGGGAAGAAGGCCUUCGGGUUGUAAACCGUUUUCAGGAGGGACGAAGCCACUCGAGUUAAUAGCUCAGAGGGUGACGGUACCUCCAGAAGAAGCCCCGGCUAACUACGUGCCAGCAGCCGCGGUAAUACGUAGGGGGCAAGCGUUGUCCGGAUUUAUUGGGCGUAAAGAGCGUGUAGGCGGCCAGAUAAGUCUGACGUGAAAUGUCGAGGCUCAACCUCGAAAGGUCGUUGGAAACUGUCUGGCUAGAGUCCGGAAGAGGAGAGUGGAAUUCCUGGUGUAGCGGUGAAAUGCGCAGAUAUCAGGAAGAACACCUAUGGCGAAGGCAGCUCUCUGGGACGGUACUGACGCUGAGACGCGAAAGCGUGGGGAGCGAACAGGAUUAGAUACCCCCGUAGUCC
RNAcentral lists this ribosomal RNA (448 nucleotides) under uncultured prokaryote. RNAcentral describes it as "bacterial SSU rRNA". It matches the Rfam family "Bacterial small subunit ribosomal RNA", at positions 355 to 796 of the family's 1533-position model. The record is from RNAcentral.